AUUAAAGGAAAUAAGAGCGCACAGUGGAUGCCUAGGCACCAAGAGCUGAUGAAGGACGCAAUUAACGGCGAUACGCUACGGGAAGCUGUAAAUAAGUGUAGAUCCGUGGAUUUCCGAAUGGGGCAACCUACUAUAAGUAGUUAUAGUAUCAAUUUAUUAGGCAACUAAUCGAUUGAAAGGAACGCAGUGAACUGAAAUAUCUAAGUAACUGUAGGAAAAGAAAGUAAUAACGAUUCCGGUAGUAGUGACGAGCGAACCCGGAACAGCCGGAUACCAAUUCCUAGUUAUCAAAUUUUAAUGAACUCGAAAUAGUUGGAAAACUAUAUCCUAGAAGGUGAAAAUCCUGUAGAGGUAGAUUAAAAUCUAGGGUAUCCUUAAGUACGGCGAGACACGAGAAAUCUUGUUGGAAGAUAGGAGGACCAUCUCCUAAGGCUAAAUACUCCUUGGUGACCGAUAGUGAACUAGUACCGUGAGGGAAAGGUGAAAAGAACCCCGGAAGGGGAGUGAAAUAGAUCCUGAAACUGUGUGCUUACAAGUAGUCAAAGCUCGUUUAAGAGUGAUGGCGUGCCUUUUGCAGAAUGAACCGGCGAGUUAUGAUAUAGAGCAAGGUUAAGUUUGAAGGAACGUAGCCGGAGCGAAAGCGAGUCUGAAUAGGGCGUUUAGUUGUAUGUCAUAGACCCGAAACUGAAGUGAGCUAGCCAUGAACAGGCUGAAGUGACGUGACCACGUCAUGGAGGGCCGAACCAGGACACGUUGAAAAGUGUUUGGAU
Molecule: ribosomal RNA, 770 nt
Filed under: Candidatus Phytoplasma citri
Lineage: Bacteria; Bacillati; Mycoplasmatota; Mollicutes; Acholeplasmatales; Acholeplasmataceae
Description: partial 23S ribosomal RNA
Rfam family: Bacterial large subunit ribosomal RNA
Source: RNAcentral